GGGGAAUUUUGCGCAAUGGACGAAAGUCUGACGCAGCGACGCCGCGUGAGUGAAGAAGGCCUGCGGGUUGUAAAGCUCUGUCGAGUGGGAAGAAAAUCCGUUAGGUUAAUAGCCUAGUGGCCUGACGGUACCACUAAAGGAAGCACCGGCUAACUCCGUGCCAGCAGCCGCGGUAAUACGGAGGGUGCAAGCGUUGCUCGGAAUUAUUGGGCGUAAAGGGCAGGUAGGUGGUCUCGUUUGUCUGGGGUGAAAGCCCUGAGCUUAACUCAGGAAGUGCCUCAGAAACGGCGAGACUAGAAUUCUAGAGAGGGUAGCGGAAUUCCCGGUGUAGCGGUGAAAUGCGUAGAGAUCGGGAGGAACACCAGCGGCGAAAGCGGCUACCUGGAUAGAUAUUGACACUUAACUGCGAAAGCGUGGGGAGCAAAC
This 426-nucleotide ribosomal RNA is filed under the name uncultured bacterium. Its description in RNAcentral is "bacterial SSU rRNA". It matches the Rfam family "Bacterial small subunit ribosomal RNA", at positions 356 to 773 of the family's 1533-position model. The record is from RNAcentral.